GCACUGCUGAGGAGUCCCACAAUAGGACAAAACAGCCGUCUAGUAC
This 46-nucleotide non-coding RNA is filed under the name Schistosoma mansoni. Lineage: Eukaryota; Metazoa; Platyhelminthes; Trematoda; Strigeidida; Schistosomatidae. The record is from RNAcentral.